Molecule: ribosomal RNA, 500 nt
Filed under: uncultured bacterium
Lineage: Bacteria
Description: partial 16S ribosomal RNA
Rfam family: Bacterial small subunit ribosomal RNA
Source: RNAcentral
AUUGAACGCUGGCGGCAUGCCUUACACAUGCAAGUCGAACGGCAGCACGGGAGCAAUCCUGGUGGCGAGUGGCGAACGGGUGAGUAAUACAUCGGAACGUGCCCAAUCGUGGGGGAUAACGUAGCGAAAGUUACGCUAAUACCGCAUACGAUCUACGGAUGAAAGCGGGGGACCGCAAGGCCUCGCGCGAUUGGAGCGGCCGAUGGCAGAUUAGGUAGUUGGGGGGGUAAAUGCCUACCAAGCCUCCGAUCUGUAGCUGGUCUGAGAGGACGAUCAGCCACACUGGGACUGAGACACGGCCCAGACUCCUACGGGAGGCAGCAGUGGGGAAUUUUGGACAAUGGGCGAAAGCCUGAUCCAGCAAUGCCGCGUGCAGGACGAAGGCCUUCGGGUUGUAAACUGCUUUUGUACGGAGCGAAACGCCUUUCACUAAUACUGGGGGCUAAUGACGGUACCGUAAGAAUAAGCACCGGCUAACUACGUGCCAGCCGCCGCCGUAA